UGAAGUGUGCAGACAGGAAAAUAAUGCC
RNAcentral lists this non-coding RNA (28 nucleotides) under Mus musculus (house mouse). Lineage: Eukaryota; Metazoa; Chordata; Mammalia; Rodentia; Muridae. The record is from RNAcentral.